AACGCAGCUUGCACUUUUGGAGUCUAUCCAAAAGUAUACCUGUUUGAGUAUCAUUAACAUCAAUCCAAGCAAUUGGGAAUUGGGGAUCAAGCGACAGUAGCAGCAGCAGCAUUAGCAGUGCAUUACUUGUAUACUUAUUUGUAGUGUGCAGCAGGUUGUUGUGUAUGCGUUUGCGUGUUUGUUCCUUCAAAUGUAGUGAGGAUGGGGGAUGGAGGCCGUUCCAUUCGCAGUGAGGAUGUUUACCUUACCGUGUUGCAUAUAUGCAUGUGCAUGCGGUCAGUGUGUAAAAUAAUCGCGAGCGGUGGAGAGAGGAGCCAUCAUCUGGUGACGAUGACGAGUUUUUUUACUUGUUGUUGUUGUUGACUCUUAUUCUCUACACUCUACAGCAUAUGCUGCUGCAUAUACUAUAUAUCAUAUACAUGUGUGUGUGGAUGUGCAUGUAGGUACAAAUUUGAUCUCAAAUCAGGCAAGACUACCCGCCGAACUUAA
Molecule: unclassified non-coding RNA, 489 nt
Filed under: uncultured fungus
Lineage: Eukaryota; Fungi
Description: partial contains internal transcribed spacer 2 and large subunit ribosomal RNA
Source: RNAcentral